This 401-nucleotide ribosomal RNA is filed under the name uncultured bacterium. RNAcentral describes it as "bacterial SSU rRNA". It matches the Rfam family "Bacterial small subunit ribosomal RNA", at positions 358 to 775 of the family's 1533-position model. The record is from RNAcentral.
GGAAUAUUGCACAAUGGAGGAAACUCUGAUGCAGUGACACCGCGUAUAGGAAGAAGGUUUUCGGAUUGUAAACUAUUUUAGACAGGGAAGAAAAAAGACAGUACCUGUAGAAUAAGCCCCGGCUAACUACGUGCCAGCAGCCGCGGUAAUACGUAGGGGGCAAGCGUUAUCCGGAAUUACUGGGUGUAAAGGGAGCGUAGACGGUGAUGUAAGUCUGGAGUGAAAGGCGGGGGCCCAACCCCCGGACUGCUCUGGAAACUAUGUGACUGGAGUGCAGGAGAGGUGAGCGGAAUUCCUAGUGUAGCGGUGAAAUGCGUAGAUAUUAGGAGGAACACCAGUGGCGAAGGCGGCUCACUGGACUGUAACUGACGUUGAGGCUCGAAAGCGUGGGGAGCAAACAG